RNAcentral lists this ribosomal RNA (254 nucleotides) under uncultured bacterium. RNAcentral's name for it is "partial 16S ribosomal RNA". It matches the Rfam family "Bacterial small subunit ribosomal RNA", at positions 524 to 776 of the family's 1533-position model. The record is from RNAcentral.
UACGGGGGGAGCAAGCGUUGUUCGGAUUUACUGGGCGUAAAGGGCGCGUAGGCGGUCAGCACAAGUCAGUUGUGAAAUCUCCGGGCUUAACUCGGAAAGGUCAACUGAUACUGUGCGACUAGAGUGCGGAAGGGGCAACUGGAAUUCUCGGUGUAGCGGUGAAAUGCGUAGAUAUCAGGAGGAACACCGAUGGCGAAGGCGGUUCUCUGGGCCUUACCUGACGCUGAGGAGCGAAAGCGUGGGGAGCGAACAGG